Molecule: non-coding RNA, 3008 nt
Organism: Camellia sinensis
Lineage: Eukaryota; Viridiplantae; Streptophyta; Magnoliopsida; Ericales; Theaceae
Source: RefSeq, a predicted model, not a curated record
CUCUCUUUCUCUCUAAUUGUUGUUUGUUGGUGGAAUUGAGGUCUAUAAUGGUUUAAAUCGAUGUUUUUAUUUAUCAUCAUUUCUGUUUCUGGUAUAUAUAUGUGUUAAGCUUUAUUUUGUGGUUCAUGGUUUAUUGUUUGGUGGUUGCCUAAUUAGAACUAUGGCAGAAAUUGCAAGGAAAUUGUGAAAUUGGGCAUGGCAAUUUCAUCCUCUCUCUGUUUUUUUUUUUUUUUUUGGCUGUGUCUGUUCUUUGUAGCUGUGUCUAUUCAAACCCCAAAACAGAGGCACUUCAGUUCUUCAGUUUUUUGCUUCCAGAUUUGGUUCUAUCUGUUAGAUUUUUCUGGGUUUUGUUUUUACGCCUUGAAUUUUUGGUCAACUGGUGAUUAUUGGGUUGAAUUCUCACUCUCUGCUCUCGAACUCGGCUUGCAAGCAUUGUUUGGUGGUUGCCUAAUUAGAAAUAUGGCAGAAAUUGCAAAGAAAUUGUGAAAUUGGGCAUCGCAGUUUCUCCCACCUUUUUUUUUUUGGUGCCCUUCUGGCUGUGUCUGAUCUUUGUGGCUGUGUCUGUUCAAACCCCAAAACAGAGGUUUCUAAUUUGACAGAACCUUUCUGAAGAGUAGAAAAAAAUUUCGACAUUGUCGAGGAAGCAUCAUUGUAUCAGCGAAGUUUCAGUUCGGUUCUUAUCCGUGAGACAUCUACUGCCACCAUUGAAGAGGAAGAUCAACAAACAGCAAAAACCCAAUUCAGCAUCAACACCCACCCUCCCUUCGAACUCGCACUUGGAAGGUUCGAUUUCUGCCUCUCAAUGUGUUCAUACACUCAAUGUGUGUCAAUUGAAAUUUGAUAUGAACUGGUUUGUCUAUAUGGUUGCAACAUAUCAUCUAGUAUCUAAAAUAUCGGUACCCAAUUUCUUGCUCACUGUAAUGGUGUUGAGUAAAAUUUGUGACAAUUUACACAUACAUAUUAUCUUUAUGUGUACGAACUGGUUUGAGGAAGAUGGUUGUGGUUUCCAGUGUCAAUGUUGUAAAAAUAAAAAAGAAAUGAUCGGAUUCAUCGAAGGAAAAUGUCAAGCAUCUUUUAUGGUUGUUUAAAUUCGACUCAACCAAGAGAUCAUCAGUUACACAUUGGGGAGAAUCGGUGGUCGUCACAAAUCUAAGAAGUGCGACUCUGCCAUUUGGCAUUAUAUUACACUACUCUGCCUUUUCCCAAUUUAACCUCUCAAGUUCGUUUUAUUUAAUCUACUAUAUUGUGCCUUCUUUUAUUUAUUUUGAAUCCUUCAAUGGCUUAAUCUCUGUUUUACCUGUUUUGUACAUUGUAGGAGAUAGUGGUUUAUUUAUUUUUUAUUUUUUUAAUUAAGGUGUGAAUUGUUUUGUUAAUGUAAUGUAAAUAGGAAGGAGGGUUUCUUAAGUCAGAGAUUGUCAUUUCUUUUUGGUAAUGAGGGUAUACUGAGUGACCCCAAGGGGUCAAAUGCUUCAUGUGUUCUGUUUUGUUGAUGUCAAAAUGUAAUUCUAGAUAGAGAAAGAAGGUGAGAGUUUGUCAAUGGAUCACAAUGUUUUAUUGAUUUUGCAAUGAAAAUUUGAGGAGAAACAGAUUGUAAUGAUAGAAGAGAUGAUGUUUUACUGUUUGACAGUUUCAAAAUAGAGAGAAAAUGUUGGAGAGAGAGAGAGAGAGAGAGAGAGAGAGAGACAACUGUAUUUAUCUGUGACUCAUGCAGGUUCAUUGAUUUUUGUAAUAUUCAAACUGUGAGAGAGACAUAGUAUAGAGAUUGAAGAGACAAUCUCAUAGAGAACAACUGAGAGGGGUUUUCUUUCAUCGUAACUAACUUUGCUUCAUAUGUUCUGUUUUAAAUCAUAUAUGCAACCUCGGCUGUUGUUUUUGUUUUUGGUUGGGUUUGUUCAGGUUGAAUUUCCCUUGUUGCAAUUCAAACGACGCUACUCCUCCUUCAGAGAUAAUCAUCAGGUUUGGCACUUAUUACAAGGAAUGAAGCACUACUCUGGACCGAUGGGAGGUACUUCUUGCAGGCAGCACUGGAGUUAAGUGACCAGUGGAAGCUCAUGCGCAUGGGAGGAGACCCAGUUGUGGAUGUCUGGAUGGUAGAUCAAUCACCUUGUGUUGCCGUCGUCGCCGUCGCCUCCAACGUCUUUGGCUCUUGGGUUUCAGUUCCAUAUGACGGACUAGGAGCUUGUGCAGUACUACCUCAAGCGUAAGGCCUCUGGGAAGCCAUUCCACUUCGAUGUCGUCUCGGAAAUCGAUGUCUACAAAUCUGAGCCAUUGGAGCUCUCCGAAAUCUACAGAAAUUUGAAGUCGUUUCGCUCGAGACAUUAUCCCCGGGAACAAGUUUUCCAAGAUCAACGCUUUCCGGCUCAUCCCGGAGAGUUUACUCUCUCUGUCUCUCUAGAAAUUUAUAUAAAUAUAUAAGUUUGUGAGUAGAGACCACCAUCUACUCCUUACAUCCAACAAAUGUUCUAUUUGUCCCUUUUUUGAUGAAUUUCUUGACCCACAACAACGGUGGAAACAACGUAGAGAAUACCCUAAAAGCUCCAUGGUCAUCUUCUCCAUUUAUUCAUCAGAUCCAAAGCUCACAGACCUGUGGGACUAAAGGAGGGGUGGAUUCAGCAAAGGAUAUUCACUCUCUUCAAUUACAUUGGUGGAUGGAUGUUGUUGUGGUCUUUACUUUAUUGUUUUACCUUUUUUUAUGUUUCUGAUAUACUAGGUGUGGUGGAUUUUAUUUUAUUUAUUUUAUUUUCUUUGUUUUUAUUGGGUUGAAUUUGUAUUUAUUUUUUACCAUUAAUUUUGUUUUCAAAAAAUAUUUAAUGAUCAUGAUUACUCCAUUCAAGGUGGUUUUUUUUUUUCCAAUUUCAUGGUGUGUGUUCAUCUGAGCAAACCAAAUGGAUAGUUGGGGUUAUUUGAUCUUUUAUUUUUAUUUUUUAUCAGUUGUUGUUCAUAGCAUUUCAAUGCACAAUGUUAACUUAUUAAUAUUCUUUAAUAUGAUGCUUGGCUUUUAUUGGGGA